RNAcentral lists this ribosomal RNA (301 nucleotides) under uncultured bacterium. RNAcentral describes it as "partial 16S ribosomal RNA". It matches the Rfam family "Bacterial small subunit ribosomal RNA", at positions 509 to 807 of the family's 1533-position model. The record is from RNAcentral.
CAGCCGCCGCGGUAAUACGUAGGUGGCAAGCGUCGUUCGGAAUUAUUGGGCGUAAAGGGCGCGUAGGCGGUUUGGCAAGUUUGGUGUGAAAUCUUCGGGCUCAACUCGAAGUCUGCAUCGAAAACUGCCGGGCUUGAGUAUGGGAGAGGUGAGUGGAAUUUCCGGUGUAGCGGUGAAAUGCGUAGAUAUCGGAAGGAACACCUGUGGCGAAAGCGGCUCACUGGACAAUUACUGACGCUGAUGCACGAAAGCUAGGGGAGCAAACAGGAUUAGAUACCCGUGUAGUCCCUGUCUCUUAUAC